UCUGGUUGAUCCUGCCAGUAGUUAUAUGAUUGUCUCAAAGAUUAAGCCCUGCAUGUCUAAGUACACACGAAUUAAAAGUGAAACCGCAAAAGGCUCAUUAUAUUAGUUAUGGUUCCUUAGAUCGUUAACAGUUACUUGGGUAACUGUGGUAAUUCUAGAGCUAAUACAUGCAAUUAAAACAUGAACCUUAUGGGACAUGUGCUUUUAUUAGGCUAAAACCAAGCGAUCGCAAGAUCGUUAUAUUGGUUGAACUCUAGAUAACAUGCAGAUCGUAUGGUCUUGUACCGACGACAGAUCUUUCAAAUGUCUGCCCUAUCUACUUUGGAUGGUAGUAUCUAGGACUACCAUGGUUGCAACGGGUAACGGAGAAUCAGGGUUCGUUUCCGGAGAGGGAGCCUGAGAAACGGCUACCACAUCCAAGGAAGGCAGCAGGCGCGUAAAUUACCCACUCCCAAAAAUAACAAAACAGGACUCAUAUCCGAAGCCCUGUAAUUGGAAUGAGUACAUUUUAAAUCCUUUAACAAGGACCAAUUGGAGGGCAAGUCUGGUGCCAGCAGCCGCGGUAAUUCCAGCUCCAAUAGCGUAUAUUAAAGUUGUUGCGGUUAAAACGUUCGUAGUUGAACUUGUGCUUCAUACGGGGAGUACAACUUACAAUUGUGGUUAGUACUAUACCUUUAUAUAUUUAAGCGUAUUACCGGUGGAGUUCUUAUAUGUGAUUAAAUACUUGAAUUUUUUCAUAUGUUCCUCCUAUUUAAAAACCUGCAUUAGUGCUCUUAAACGAGUGUUAUUGUGGGCCUGUACUAUUACUUUGAACAAAUUAGAGUGAAAUAAGACCUCUGUUCUGCUUUCAUUGGUUUUCAGAUCAAGAGGUAAUGAUUAAUAGAAGCAGUUUGGGGGCAUUAGUAUUACGACGCGAGAGGUGAAAUUCUUGGACCGUCGUAAGACUAACUUAAGCGAAAGCAUUUGCCCAAGAUGUUUUCAUUAAUCAAGAACGAAAGUUAGAGGUUCGAAGGCGAUUAGAUACCGCCCUAGUUCUAACCAUAAACGAUGCCAGCUAGAAAUUGGGUGUAGCUACUAUCAUGGCUCUCUCAGUCGCUCAGUCUCAGGCCUACAACAGAGCCUGUAAGCAGCUCAAACAGAUGCUUCAUGACUCGAGAAGCAAGGCGCUCGAGGAGUACCUAGUAGAACUGGAGCCUGGCAAUGCUGAGCACAACAUCUGGAACUCCACCAAAUACCUGAAAAGGCCUGUGCGGAGGGUGCCACCUGUUAAAACAGCUGCAGGUGUAUGGUGCCGGUCAAGCCAAGAGAAAGCGGAUGCGUUUGCCGACCAUCUGGAAACCAGUUUCCAGCCAUUCGCCCUAUGUGAUGACGAAGACGUUGAAGAGACGAAGCAGUUCGAUGACGCAGCCUGCCCGAUGGCCCUGCCUAUCGCAGAGAUAGGUAGUCAGGAGAUUCUGGAUGAGAUUUCGUGCUUGAAGCUCACCAAAUCUCCUGGCCUUGACAAAUUCGACGCAGCUGCCCUCAAGCUACUCCCAGCGAAUUGCAUAGAGUUUCUAA
This 1557-nucleotide ribosomal RNA is filed under the name Drosophila erecta. RNAcentral describes it as "SSU rRNA". The stretch from base 2 to 1155 matches the Rfam family "Eukaryotic small subunit ribosomal RNA", at positions 4 to 1116 of the family's 1831-position model. Lineage: Eukaryota; Metazoa; Arthropoda; Insecta; Diptera; Drosophilidae. The record is from RNAcentral.